GGUCCUGGUCCCGGUCCCGGUUCCACCUCCACCUCCUCUUCCUCCGCCGCCAUGACCGAAGCGAAAGAUGCAGCCAGAGCUACUGAGGCUGUACAGCAAUUUCUAUUUUUGUUUCAACAUUGUUUGACUGCUAUGACAUGACAUUGGUGCAGAGAAAUGUCACAACCUGCCUGAUGCAACCAAGACAUUGAUCACCUAAUACAAGGAACCUGGGCAUUGUUACGAUGAUGCGUUCCCAUUGAGGAAGGAAAUGAAUAAUUCAAACCGUUAUCCAUCAAGAUUUAGGCACAUAAUUGAGGUAGAGUGACAGGAUGUAAGGGAACUAAAGUAAUCUUCAGACCAAUAUUAUUCACCUGUGCUAGCUGAAGAAGGGAUUACUACUCAUGAGAUUGCCCCAAAAUUCACAACAGAUGAUGUUCAAUUGAGAAAUGAAAUAUACCCAGAUACAGUUGAAAUCUGAAGACAGAUGGAUGCCUGUGAGGAGUACCAGCACAGCCAAAGCAGGACAAGAGAAAGAAGAGCCAGCAAAUAUAUAAUCACCAUAUGACCUACUGACACCAUGAGGCUUUCCCACCAAUCCUAGUGGAGGCAUUGUAUAGUGCCAGUUUGUCCAAGCAAUGUUCAAAAUUAUAUCUGUGCCUGUCAAAACAUGUUAUUUUUCAUUUUAAGGUCCAAACCUCUUUGGCCACUUCAUCUAUCUACCUUCUCAAAUGAAUUAAAGUACCCUUUGACUCUAAUCUUGUUGAAUUUAGGCACUAAGCAUAGAUUCUAAAAUCAUUUCCCUCAUUGGAAUCAGAAUCAUCCUCUGAGCUACUAUUUCCUUCUUGCUUUUUUAUUCUAAAUGUACUUUGGGCCAACUCAUGUUCUUUAAUUUCCCAAUCUGUUUGGAACUCAAGUCUUUUCAAUUCCAUCUCCUGUUAUUCUUUUACCUCUUUUGUCAUUUAAUGUUUUCUGAGCACUAUCUCCCCGUUUUCUCACUUCUCACUUUUCAUUAUGCUCCCGUUUCACUUUCCUCAAUUUCAAGGUUUUUUUUUCAAUUUUGUUUCUCCAGUCCAGUUUUUUUUUCUUUCUAACCAUAUCGUAGCUAAUCCCAGUUGUGACUUCCUAAUUUCAGAUUUCCUUUCUUCUGAUUCUAAAUGUUGUAUAAUCACUUGAAGCAUCUCACCUUUAUGGGACAUUGUUUUUAGCUGUACUGUUAAUUUAUGUGAUAACUCUUUGUUUAGAUUUUGUCAAAGAUUUUAAAUAUUACAAUUUCAAGCCAACAUAUAACUAGUGCUUGAACAACUCAUUUAAAAACUCAAUUUAAAAUUUCCCAGACAAGCUUCCCCUAGUUAUGACCCAUCUGAAUUUAUUACUGGACAAGUCAGAUCUUUGUCUGUAAUCUGGCUUGAUAGAUCCAUUUGUUUUCUUUUUGUUUUGACAAGAUAUUCUCUGAUAGGAACAUAAGCAUGCAAUGUUGCAGAUUUGUUUUCAAUAAUAAAAUGUUUUAUUUCACACCAGCCAUGAAGAUAAAAUAAAACAAAUCCAAACUGUUUACACAACAGAAGUUUAGAGAUUUUGAAACACACAGCAGAUACAAUCCCACUCUUGUACAAGUCCCGCAAAACAUCCCUUAUUCAGUACACAACAGCAUACCUUGUAUAGUGCUCGCAUCAGAGAAGUAUCCCUUCAGUAACACCUUGAAAGGUUUAAUUUAACCUUAACUUCACCUCCCAGU
Non-coding RNA from Chiloscyllium plagiosum (whitespotted bambooshark), 1717 nucleotides. The record is from RefSeq and is a predicted model, not a curated record. Lineage: Eukaryota; Metazoa; Chordata; Chondrichthyes; Orectolobiformes; Hemiscylliidae.